This 486-nucleotide ribosomal RNA is filed under the name uncultured bacterium. RNAcentral describes it as "bacterial SSU rRNA". It matches the Rfam family "Bacterial small subunit ribosomal RNA", at positions 29 to 532 of the family's 1533-position model. The record is from RNAcentral.
AACGAACGCUGGCGGCAGGCUUAACACAUGCAAGUCGAACGGUUGUAGCAAUACAGCAGUGGCGCACGGGUGAGUAACGCGUGGAUAUCUGCCUUUUGGUUCGGAAUAACUCCGGGAAACUGGAGCUAAUACCGGAUGGUUCCUACGGGAUAAAGAUUUAUCGCCAAAAAGAUGAGUCCGCGUACGAUUAGCUAGUUGGUGAGGUAAUGGCUCACCAAGGCGACGAUCGUUAGCUGGUCUGAGAGGACGAUCAGCCACACUGGGACUGAGACACGGCCCAGACUCCUACGGGAGGCAGCAGUGGGGAAUAUUGGACAAUGGGGGCAACCCUGAUCCAGCAAUGCCGCGUGUGUGAAGAAGGCCUGCGGGUUGUAAAGCACUUUCAGUGGGAAGAACAGAUUCGGGUCAAUACCCCGGAGCCCUGACGUUACCCACAGAAGAAGCACCGGCUAACUCCGUGCCAGCAGCCGCGGUAAUGUGUGACUG